ACCACCGCGUGUUACUUCUGGACUCGCCCACAUAGAUAGUGUCGAUCAGUUAUCGUUAAGCCAAGCGCUUAUCAGGCUAGAAAAACAGCCAAUUGGAGCAUCAUUGCUCAUUUUCAUGCCUGAUUAUGCACAAACUAGCAAGGGAGUUUAUCGUGGUCGUAUGACAAAUAGAUCUUAUUUUAGAUCAGUGCAGGAAGUAUCAGUGAUGUCUGUGAUUGAAAAAAAUGGAGAAAAACUGUUGAAGGUUAGAUUAAACGAUGCAGACAUGGCGGGAGAUGAUGAAGGGUACCUUAAAGUAUCGAUGGAGGUUAUGUUGGUUUGAGUCCCAACAGAAGGAAAUCAGUCUGAUGGUAAGUUUGACAAACCGAGGAUGUUACUCACUGACUUUGUAUGUCCAACCGUGUUGUAGAUACAACAAUGCAAGACCGAAUAAGGGGUGGAGACGAAGCAAUGGUGAUGAAGUAGAGAAGAGAAACGGUGGUCAUGAAGUAGAAGAG
Molecule: long non-coding RNA, 497 nt
Organism: Brassica oleracea var. oleracea
Lineage: Eukaryota; Viridiplantae; Streptophyta; Magnoliopsida; Brassicales; Brassicaceae
Exons: 3
Source: RefSeq, a predicted model, not a curated record